Molecule: ribosomal RNA, 372 nt
Filed under: uncultured bacterium
Lineage: Bacteria
Description: bacterial SSU rRNA
Rfam family: Bacterial small subunit ribosomal RNA
Source: RNAcentral
GCGGGGUAGCUUGCUACCCAGCGGCGAACGGGUGAGUAACACGUAGGUAACCUGCCUUCGAGUCCGGAAUACCCAGGCGAAAGCUUGGCUAAUGCCGGAUAACAGCGGACCCCGCCUGGGGCCCGCGUGAAAGCCGCCCCAAAGCGGCGCUCCUAGAUGGACCUGCGACGCAUUAGCUAGUUGGCGGGGCAACGGCCCACCAAGGCGAGGAUGCGUAGCCGACCUGAGAGGGUGAACGGCCACAAUGGGACUGAGACACGGCCCAUACUCCUACGGGAGGCAGCAGUAGGGAGUUUUCGGCAAUGGGGGGAACCCUGACCGAGCAACGCCGCGUGAGUGAUGAAGGUCUUCGGAUCGUAAAGCUCUGUUGCG